GAUGAAGAACGUAGCGAAAUGCGAUAAGUAAUGUGAAUUGCAGAAUUCAGUGAAUCAUCGAAUCUUUGAACGCACAUUGCGCCCGCCAGUAUUCUGGCGGGCAUGCCUGUUCGAGCGUCAUUUCAACCCUCAGGCCCCGCCUGGCGUUGGGGAUCGGCGCGGCCCUCUCCGGGCUGCCGGCCCCGAAAACUAGUGGCGGUCUCGCUGUAGUCCUCCUCUGCGCAGUAGCAACGCUCGCACUGGAACUCGGCGCGGCCACGCCGUAAAACACCCCACUUCUGAAAGUUGACCUCGGAUCAGGUAGGAAUACCCGCUGAACUUAAGCAUAUCAAUACGGAGGA
This 341-nucleotide unclassified non-coding RNA is filed under the name soil metagenome. RNAcentral's name for it is "partial contains 5.8S ribosomal RNA, internal transcribed spacer 2, and large subunit ribosomal RNA". The stretch from base 1 to 120 matches the Rfam family "5.8S ribosomal RNA", at positions 35 to 154 of the family's 154-position model. The record is from RNAcentral.